GGCCUGGGCGGCAGGUCUACACAUGCAGUCGAGCGGUAGCACAGAGAGCUUGCUCUCGGGUGACGAGCGGCGGACGGGUGAGUAAUGUCUGGGAAACUGCCUGAUGGAGGGGGAUAACUACUGGAAACGGUAGCUAAUACCGCAUAAUGUCGCAAGACCAAAGUGGGGGACCUUCGGGCCUCAUGCCAUCAGAUGUGCCCAGAUGGGAUUAGCUAGUAGGUGGGGUAACGGCUCACCUAGGCGACGAUCCCUAGCUGGUCUGAGAGGAUGACCAGCCACACUGGAACUGAGACACGGUCCAGACUCCUACGGGAGGCAGCAGUGGGGAAUAUUGCACAAUGGGCGCAAGCCUGAUGCAGCCAUGCCGCGUGUGUGAAGAAGGCCUUCGGGUUGUAAAGCACUUUCAGCGGGGAGGAAGGCGAUAAGGUUAAUAACCUUGUCGAUUGACGUUACCCGCAGAAGAAGCACCGGCUAACUCCGUGCCAGCAGCCGCGGUAAUACGGAGGGUGCAAGCGUUAAUCGGAAUUACUGGGCGUAAAGCGCACGCAGGCGGUCUGUCAAGUCGGAUGUGAAAUCCCCGGGCUCAACCUGGGAACUGCAUUCGAAACUGGCAGGCUAGAGUCUUGUAGAGGGGGGUAGAAUUCCAGGUGUAGCGGUGAAAUGCGUAGAGAUCUGGAGGAAUACCGGUGGCGAAGGCGGCCCCCUGGACAAAGACUGACGCUCAGGUGCGAAAGCGUGGGGAGCAAACAGGAUUAGAUACCCUGGUAGUCCACGCCGUAAACGAUGUCGAUUUGGAGGUUGUGCCCUUGAGGCGUGGCUUCCGGAGCUAACGCGUUAAAUCGACCGCCUGGGGAGUACGGCCGCAAGGUUAAAACUCAAAUGAAUUGACGGGGGCCCGCACAAGCGGUGGAGCAUGUGGUUUAAUUCGAUGCAACGCGAAGAACCUUACCUGGUCUUGACAUCCACAGAACUUUCCAGAGAUGGAUUGGUGCCUUCGGGAACUGUGAGACAGGUGCUGCAUGGCUGUCGUCAGCUCGUGUUGUGAAAUGUUGGGUUAAGUCCCGCAACGAGCGCAACCCUUAUCUUUGUUGCCAGCGGUUAGGCCGGGAACUCAAAGGAGACUGCCAGUGAUAACUGGAGGAAGGGGGGGAUGACGUCAAGUCAUCAUGGCCCUUACAACAGGGCUACCACGUGCUACAUG
This 1201-nucleotide ribosomal RNA is filed under the name uncultured Acinetobacter sp. RNAcentral's name for it is "bacterial SSU rRNA". It matches the Rfam family "Bacterial small subunit ribosomal RNA", at positions 32 to 1231 of the family's 1533-position model. Lineage: Bacteria; Pseudomonadati; Pseudomonadota; Gammaproteobacteria; Moraxellales; Moraxellaceae. The record is from RNAcentral.